This is a non-coding RNA of Paramisgurnus dabryanus, 1524 nucleotides long. The record is from RefSeq and is a predicted model, not a curated record. NCBI's taxonomy places the organism in Eukaryota, Metazoa, Chordata, Actinopteri, Cypriniformes, Cobitidae.
CACCAGUGUUAAAUUUUCAGGGAUGGUGUUAAAUACACAGUGUUGAUGCUGUUUUAACACUAUCUGGUAAUAAAAUAACACUGCCAUUGCUAGGCCAGUGUUAUAUUCACGACAGUGUCAGUGUAAAACAAGGGUGUUAUGAGAUUUCACUCUGAGCGGUGUAAAUCAAGCCACGCCUCCACUAAACAUAUCCUGUCAGGGAUUUUACCGCCAUUUUCUUUCACCGGAGGACUGAAGAGAUCAGAUGCUAGUUUGGUGAAAGUUCACACUGAGUGCUUCAAAUCAUUCAGAAGAGAUGCUGUUUUUAGGGCAGUUUAUUAAAGAAGACCUGACAUGGAUGACUUCCAAUGAGAAACGACUGCUAAUACUUAUAUAAAUUCAUUACAGAAGGACCCUACCAGACUAUAUUUGAAUACGGCAUACAUGAAUUCUGGAACUGUUAUUCCUUAACCCAGUUUGGAGGAUAAGAGCUUACCAACUAGUUAUAAAUAUGCUGAGGUGAUGUAUUGCAAAAUAGCCAACAUACAACAAUAUGGAUGACCCUCUGUCUGGUCAACAGGAGUUUAAAUAUGGACGGGACAGUGAUGUGGCAGCUCUUCCCUGGCUCAUUCACCUCUUGCCUUCAUUUGUGAAAGGAAGAAAGACUGGAGAGGGUCAAUGUGCAACUGAAGCUACUGAUUGUGCUAUGUGAUGAGCAUCAAUCCAUGCUUUGAGGGGGAUGAAUCAGCACAGCCCUGCCUGCACUGCGUUGGGAACAGAAGUUGCAUCCAGAAUUUUUGCAUCAUUCUGGACCAAAAAGCCAUUCCCUCCAUGAUGAAGACCACUGAUGCAGCCUUCCACUACAUCAUGAGUAAAACAACUACAGAACUAAAUACCAGGUUGGAACGUAUUUAAGAAAAAUGAAACGUCUUUUGAAUUGAAAUGUCUGUUUUGUUAUGGAAAAAUCUUUAGUAUUGUGAAGGAUAAGCAUUUCUGCCUGCCAGUAAGGUAAUUGCAGUGUAUUUUAAUGUUCAAGUUUUGAGUAGGGUGGCAAAUUUUUUUUAAACUCUCAUUUGAUAUAUUAAAGCAACACUAUGUAGUUUCCAUGUAAAAAUGACUUACAGCUCCCCCAUGUGGUUGAAAAGUGCAACAGUGCCUGGUAUCAGAAACUCUUCUGCAGGCAGGGGGAGGGGCGGGGCUGUGUUUCCUACCCUCCACCACCACUUUCAGAGUGUGCUUGUAGCAGCUAGGAGGCUGCUCAGGUUGCAGCAACAGUACAAUUUGUCCAGUUAAAAGUUGUUCUAUCACUGAAAUAAUUUUAGAGACAUUAUUUAAAGGUAAAAAAACUACAUAGUGUUGCUUUAAAGACCUUAUAAUAAGUGGUUUUCAUGUCACUGCGCUGUGGUAUAAGAUAACUUUCAUUAUUCCAUACUGUAUUCUGUAUUCUAAUUGUAGCUGAGGUAUUUAAAUAAGCAGUGUUAAAUGCAAAGUGUUGUGUGUAUCAAUGUAAAUAUUAAAUGUGAUGUACUUUAAUAAAAAGAGGUU